GAGUCAUUAACAAACUUCGUUUUCAGUAGCUGGUGUCUUGGCGGUCGCUGGUAACAACCUUUAUUCUGUGUGGAGGAUUGUUGGUGGCGAUGAAAAAAAUGAAGAAAGCGAAGGAGGAAAAGCUGGAGAAAGAACGGAACCGAGGCAUUGGGAAACCGUUACUGGGAGGGCCCUUCUCACUUGUCAGUCAUGAGGGACAGCCCAAGACCAACAAGGACUACAUUGGCCAGUGGGUGCUGAUCUACUUUGGCUUCACGCAUUGCCCUGAUAUCUGUCCUGAUGAAUUGGAGAAAAUGAUUCAAGUGGUAGAAGAAAUUGAAGGAAUUCCGUCUUUGCCAAAUCUGACCCCACUCUUCAUCACCAUUGAUCCUGAGAGGGACAAUGAAGAAGCUAUCGCCAGAUAUGUAAAAGAAUUUUCUCCUAAGCUGAUUGGAUUGACUGGUACCAAAGAACAGAUUGAGCAAGUCGCCAGAGCUUACCGUGUAUAUUACAGCGAAGGUCCCAAAGAUGAAGACAAUGAUUACAUAGUGGAUCACACAAUAAUAAUGUAUCUCCUUGGACCAGAUGGUGACUUUGUGGACUAUUAUGGCCAGAAUAAGAGGAGCUCUGAGAUUUCUGCUUCUAUUGCUUCACACAUGAGAAAAUACAGAUCCUAAAAGAGAAGAUUUUCAAAGAUUGAUGCAAACAUCUGCUGUAGGUUUGGCUGUAAUUGUGCAUUGUAUUCAGUGGAGUUACCAUUAUGAAAAAUCAGUAAACAGCCUUCCCAACGGAUAUUAUCUGCAGCAAGAUUUCAGCCAUGAGAGGAAGCUUGGGAUGUCUGUGAAACAUUGUUGGGAGCAAAAAAUGGAAAACACUCUGGAACCUCUGUAUCACUGGCCAGACAUCAGUGGAGGAUGGUCGCAGCAGGAAGAUGGUUACUGUCAGACCUGAUGAUGUGUAUGUCAUGAAUCCCCCUACAUUUGGCAGACUUGAGGAUAUGGCUAUGCUAACCUGCCCACAUGAACUUGCUGUCCUGUAUAACCUCAAGGACGACUACAGCUUCUGGAUGAUCUGUGUAAGUACCCAUUCAUUGUGAAGGAGAAAAUCCAAGUGCCAGGGAGAUGGACUUUAAUGACUCUCCUCUUCUGUUUCUUUUCUGUAGACCUACUCAGGUCUCUUCUGUGUCACUGUCAACCCCUACAAGUGGCUGCUGGUAUACAACCCAGAGGUGAUGUUGGCCUACUGAGGCAAAAAGUGCCCGGUGGCCGCUCCACCUGUCUUCUCCAUCUCUGACAACACCUUUCAGCCCAUGUCAAACGAUGAGCUUCAGCAAAGAACUGUGUUAAAACAUUGCUUCUGCUAAAGGGUCUUCCUAUCCACCACAGGCUCACUUGCCUUCUUUGCCACCUUUUACUGUGUGCUACCCCGCUUUUUUAUUCUGUGUUAUGUUGCAAAUUAGCUGCUUUGGCUCCUGACUCUUGAACUGUGAAAUUACAGAUGCCAAUUUUGUCUCUGGAUGACACAAAACCAGCUCCAGACUGUUUUCCCUGUGUCUUGAAAUAAGCUUUAUUUUUUGAAAUGUGUUGUUGUACUCCACAUCAUAUGCAUUUCUGGUAUAGGCACUAAGCUAAGCGCAGUAACAGGAAACAGCGCAAAAUGUAGCUGUACUUGGAUAGGAUGCGCUAUCUGGGAAGUCCCUAUUCUACAGACCAGCACAUAGCUUCAGGCAACAGCGGGUAUAUUCAGAACAUAGCUGGAAGAAACCUUUUUGCCAAAAUAGAUGGUUUCAGUUGAAUUAAGCCCUGUCUCAUAUUAAAUAGUAAUAAAGGUAUGAAUAGUAAAGACAAAAGAAAAGAGGAGAGUGCAAAUGGAAAAAGAUGGAAGGGAGGCAAAAAUGGGCUAUGGGUAGCAAAAGAGAGGAAGAAGGAGAGACCAUGCAUCUUUUUAGUUCUGCUUGCAGGGUCUGUGGUUCUCUCCCUUUGAUGGACACUAGUUCACUGGUCACCUGAGAAGGAAUACGCUUUCCUACAGCUUCUCUGACCACAGGUAUUUUUCCCUUUGACAUAUCAUGAAAAUGAGUAUUCUAAUCACGUAAGUAGAUCUGUUGCUUUGAAUUCUAUCUCCAACAAAAAGCUGGCAGGUAAUUCUUCGUGCUGUGCUUUCUUUCCAUACUGGAGAAUACAGCGCAGGGAAGACUGAACACAAAACCUGUUGUCCAAUACUUUGCAACAAUUGCAGCAAGUGGAGACCUGGCCAAGAAGAAGGAAUCCUGGAUAAAAGUAUGAGGAGAGAAGGCUUGACAGAGGAACAGUUCAGGACUUUAUCAACUUGUGGCUGUGGACAGCAUUGGCAACGUACAUUGGCCUCAAAAUAUGAAGCCUUUUUUAUUAGAUUCAGCCACUCUCAAAAGAGCCACUGUCAGAUACAAGCUACUGGGGCUGCCAUUGUCACUGCUGUUGCCCGGGUGUAGCUUCCCCUGGAUUGAAAAUAGGUCUGGAAAACUGGAGUCUGGGAAUAAUCAGAACCUCCAGUUUCUUAAUACAGACCAGACUGUGCCUAUGGCUGGAAGAUGAGAGUUCUGACCACAGGAGAAACUCUGAACAUGAGCAAAAUGAAAUACUUAUUAUUUACACAGAGUGCUGAUUCUUGGUGCUAUAGCUGAGAAGCUAGCACAGUAACAGGCUGUUUAUCUGAAAGAAAAAAAAGCACUUUGUGGCAUACACAAUCAGGUGAGUUGUAAUAUAGUAAAUCUUUCCCACCACGUGUCCUGUGAUGUUUUCGAUGAUUAUUCAAAUAUUCUCACAGGGUACACUUGAAGAUCAAAUCAUCAGUGCUAAUCCACCACCGGAAGCCUUUGGGAAUGACAAGACUAUGAGAAAUGACAACAGCUCACAGUUUACUUACUGGAAAAGUCAAGAGUCACUUUCCAGCUCAAAGCUGAGAGAGGUUAACACAUUUUCUACCAGAUCCUCUCCAAUAAGAAGCCUGAACUGCUUGGUGCACCAGGCACACCAUUUCCAAGUCAGUCUAUGAGAAGCUCUUCUUGUGGAUGGUGAUGUGCAAUAAGCAACAACUGGAUACAAAGCUGUCAAGACAGCACUUCACUGGGGUCUAAGACAUUGCUGGAUUUGAGAUUGUUGAGGUCUGGUUUUGCAUAGCGCUCUCAGACUUUUCACUGUCUUUCAAAGAUUUUUUUUCCCUUCAUUUGACUUUUCUGAUCUUCAUCCCUCCCCACCUUGAUACAGCCCUCAAGAGCAAGAUCCAUCACUCACUCUUUUAAGACAAAGAAAUGGCCGAGGCAUAGCCAGGAACCUACUGUCUUCCUCCCUAGAGAAUCUGUAUUUAAUUUUAGGAUCACCCAGAUACAUCUCCGCUGCAGGCUACAUCAGUCAUGUGGUGCACAGUCCAAGUCUUCUGCAAGCCUGGACUACCCAUGACAUACCUUUUGUCCUAUUUUCAAAACCCUUCAUGGACAGCCUGGCUGAUCUUGCCUUGACGUUUCUGCAAAAUAAAUUGACUGGAGUCAGUUUAACAAUAUUAAGACAUCUACACAAAUAUUAGUUCAACAGCUUUGAGCAGCUCUGCAUCAACUUAACGAACGAGAAACUGCAACAGUUCUUCAACUACCACAUGUUUGUGCUGGAGCAGCAGGUGUACAAGAAGGAGGGAACUGAAUGGAUGUUCACUGACUUUGGGAUGGACCUGUCUGCCAGCACUGGGCUCAAAGAAGAGGUGAAUUAAGCUGUCAACUUGAAGAAAAAGAAAGUAUAACAUCACAGCUGUCCAGAAGCAAACAGGCAAUUGUGCAGCAAGUAGAAGAACUUAAAAGGUAGCUGGAGGAAGAGACCAAGGCCAAGAGCAUCCUGGCCCACGCCUCGCAGUCUGCUCACCAUGACUGUGACUUGCUCCGGGAACAAUAUGAAGAGGAGCA
Molecule: non-coding RNA, 3910 nt
Organism: Struthio camelus australis
Lineage: Eukaryota; Metazoa; Chordata; Aves; Struthioniformes; Struthionidae
Source: RefSeq, a predicted model, not a curated record